CCUCCACAAUGCACGAAAGUGUGAUGGGGUUACCCCGAGUGCCUUCCGUUGAGGAGGGCUUUUAACUGGUGUAAGAAGCCAGUAGAAUAAGGGGGGGGCAAGAUUGGUGUCAGCCGCCGCGGUAAUACCAACCCCCCGAGUGGUAGGGACAAUUAUUGGGCUUAAAGCGUUCGUAGCCGGCUUGGAUAGUCUUCCGUUAAAUCCAGCGACUAAUCGUUGGGCUGCGGAAGAUACUUUCAAGCUAGGAGGCGGAAGAGGUCGGCGGUAUUCCUAGGGGAGGGGUGAAAUCCUAUAAUCCUAGGAGGACCACCAGUGGCGAAGGCGGCCGACCAGUACGCGCUCGACGGUGAGGGACGAAAGCUGGGGGAGCGAACCGGAUUAGAUACCCGGGUAGUCCCAGCCGUAAACGAUGCAGGCUAGGUGUCGGGGUGGCUACGUGCCGCUUCGGUGCCGCAGGGAAACCGUUAAGCCUGCCGCCUGGGGAGUACGACCGCAAGGUUGAAACUUAA
This 509-nucleotide ribosomal RNA is filed under the name uncultured archaeon 63-A15. RNAcentral describes it as "bacterial SSU rRNA". It matches the Rfam family "Archaeal small subunit ribosomal RNA", at positions 347 to 859 of the family's 1478-position model. The record is from RNAcentral.